CCUUUUUACGAAUGAAAAAUAUGCAAAGAUUGCAUUGACUAAUUUCUGGUGGUAGAGUAAGUUUGGUAGAGUGAAAGGAAUUCCUUGCCAGCUUACCAUUUUGCAUAGCCCAAACAUCCCUACAAAUCAAGGCAAUAAUAUUCCAAAUUGAGUGAGGGUAAAGUGAUGAAAAUUCCUCUUCGUCAUAUUUAUGCAAUUUCAUAGCCCCAAGUUCACCGCAUAAACCAUAGCUUAGAAUUGCCCCCUAGUAAAACUUAAUGAGGUUACCAAAAUUUGCAGUAGAAUAUCCUUUUGAGCUAACUGAAAUUGAGUCCAAUAACUUCACACAAACCAUUGAAACUGUGUCGUAUUGGAACUGUAUUCCUUUCUUGUCAUUGCUAAAAAUGCUGAAACUAUGCAAGUGUAGGGAGAAAUAAAUUUUUGAAUCUGGAAGCUUUUGGAACACACAAAAUUUUCACUGCUUUACCCAAGUUACCAUAAGAUUCCUUAAAUUUCGUAAGUCUCUCAACCUGAAACAUCAGCGCAAUAUUUGUAGAAGGGCCCAAUGGAGACGACAAAGCAACACCUGCUGAAGUACCCUGGUCAUUCAUAAUUGAAAUUGAAAAUGGCUCAAUCAACAAUCUUACUACACCAAGAACAUGUAAACCAAGACUAAGAUCCUCAUCACUGUUCAAUGUAUUGAUAUAG
RNAcentral lists this long non-coding RNA (687 nucleotides) under Panax ginseng (ginseng). Its description in RNAcentral is "long non-coding RNA (PGIN_LNC018312)". The record is from RNAcentral. Lineage: Eukaryota; Viridiplantae; Streptophyta; Magnoliopsida; Apiales; Araliaceae.